Molecule: long non-coding RNA, 1335 nt
Filed under: Anas platyrhynchos (mallard)
Lineage: Eukaryota; Metazoa; Chordata; Aves; Anseriformes; Anatidae
Description: lncRNA (ENSAPLG00020016156.1)
Source: RNAcentral
AUGAGACAUGCUUGCAAGCUUCCUUUGUAUUUUUGCGCAAGGGGGGAAAAACACUGCUGUGGGGUUACUCUGGGACUUUCUGUGCUCGCCCCCUUUCCUGGCCGUGCUGGGACGGGGCCAGCAUCCUCUUCCGCUCAGAACAGACGGGAGAGAAGGGCACGGGGGCAAGCGGUGAGGGCUCGGCUGGGAGCAGAAAUUCCCCUUUCCAGAGCCAAACACCUCCCAGCUCGGGGUCUUUCCACCCCAAAUAGCUGCCCCCAUGCCCCCCCAGGGGGGAUCCAGCCCUGGGCUCAAGCCCUGGCACCCCCAGCCCCCCGACCUCCCGAGCCAAGGACCCGGCCGUGCUGCUGCCCUCGUGCCGAGGCUCCCCGGGGGGGGCCGCCCACUUAUUUACUGAUUCAGCAUCGCCCGCUGCCCUUAUCUUUCGUCAGCGCGAGCGCCUUUGCCAAAUAUUCUGCCAGAGCUGGAGGCUCCCUGCUGGAAUGCCCUGGCGUUUCUACGCAAGCAGCAGGCUCAAGGUAUUUUAAACACACAGGAGAAGCCCUGGCCGGCUGCGCAGGAAAGGCAGAAGGGUUAGGAUUUUGGCAGGAUGACGUGGGCACACCAUGUAGCUUUUGGGGAACGGUGCAGCAGGUACGAGCCAUCCCCAGCUCCAAAAUCAGUGGGGUUUCUGCUAGCAGCGUGCUGGCUGACACCUGGCCCAAAACCUUGUUUCCGUUUCCUUUAAAUUUCCCAGCAAAUGGUCAAGCUGCUCCCGUUCAGACACCCACACCGUCCUGCUGCCCUGUGCAUGAGGCUGCCUGGGGCCAUCCCAAAAGGUGCAGAAGGACUUGGGGUGUGCAGCAGAGCAGCCUGGGUCUGCUGUGCCCUGGCAGGACAGGGGGAAAAAGAGAUAAGGGCACUCAAAAGCAGGGGCUGAAGGUGUGUGGGGAAGGGAGCGAGGAGUGGAGCGCCUCGCCUUGCCCCCUGCACCCCGUCCCAUUUCCUUGCUGGCAGCCAAACGCACACGGCCCGGGGAGAGGCGAUAACACGGGGCCACAGCUCCCAGCUCAGCCCUGCCCUAACCUCGUGGCCAGCAGCAAUGAGGCCGAAAUGGGGAUUAAGGGGUGCUGGCUGAGCCCCGCCACGCUCAUGCCACCAGUGACGGAGCUCCAGCAGCUGCUGCUCCAGCAUCCCAGGGGGGGGGCUGCAAAAAGCCCCUGCGUGGGCUGGGGGCUCUGGGAGCAGCAGCAUCCAUCCCAAGGGGCUGCUCCUCGAGGAGGGGGCGGCGAGAAGCGGCCUGGUCUGAGCCCCCCCCGGCUCCCCCUGCUCCUGUCACCUCCCCGGGGGCCUUGA